GUCAAGAAUAUCACAAAAAUAUGUCACAAUCAAGAUCUUUAACGAGAGUCCUCCAAUCAGGAGGCGUCUGUGACAGCCGCUGUUUUCUCAUAGAACAGAAUCCACACCCGGGACUCAACCCAAAUUAUUUCUCAUCAGGGGGGACUUGUCCCCAUCUCCGUGUCCCUGGGGGAGGGCAGCCAUUUCCGAGUGUCUCUUCAGGGACAGCAGAUCCACUGGACAAGGGUCCGAAAAUGGUUUCAGCACCUGUGUCAGAAGCCCUCUCUGAGUAUUGUGGGGAGAACAAAUCGUAGGAACGAGAAGGAGGCCGGGAGAUGGAUUUCCCACUCUUCGGUGAAAAUCAGCCUUGAAGAAGGUCUGCUCCAGAGCCAGCUGAUGAAGAAAGAACGUGAUUGGAAAACCACAACUCGGCCACCAUCAUGGUAAUGAUUGAUUUUGGAAAGAGUCAUCAGUAGAUGCUAAAACUAGUGGGUGAAAAUUUCAUGGGUAACAGAAAUUUUACAUGGUCUCCAAGAACCUCCUCACAGGAUACUAAUUACGAAGGGUGAAGUCUUAACUUUCAAGUGAAGAAAGCUGGCAGACACCACCUUAAUCGAUAUCAGCAUCUUCCAGGCAUGGACAGAUAGACUUCAUGGCCUCCCGACAUGCAGCACCAAGAAGGAUGCAAUGUCACUUCUGCAGAUUUCCUGCCUGGAAUGCAAACUCUGAGUCCAGCCAUCGGGAAACAUCAGGCAAACUCCAACUGAAGUUAUUCUGCCUGGCCUGAGAGAAAGGCCAGAAAGACUGAGGAAUGUUCCAGAUGAAGGAGACUAAAGAGAUAAAAAAGACGUGACAACUGACUGCAAUGCAUAGUUCAGUAUUUUCUUUGGUACACAAGCCUUUAUUGGGACACUUGGUAAAAUGGGAGUCAGGUCAGCAGAUUUGAUAGUAACAUUGUAUCCAGGCAGUCCUCCUGGUUUUGAGGAUUGUGCUGUCUUGAGAAAGAGAAUGCCUUUGUUUUCAGGAAAUACAUACUGAAGUAUUUAGGGGCACCAGGAGUGUUACGUCCUGGGUGUCAGAUCUUUUUAAAUUUUCACAUCAAUUUACUUUUAUCCCUGUUUUCCAGAUGAUAAAACUGAGGCUCAGAGCCAUGAGACGCGAGCCGGGGCGGAGGCAGCUCUGCUUGGUGCCUCUUCUCUUGCUGGUUUGUGCAUCCACGCCUUCC
This 1204-nucleotide long non-coding RNA is filed under the name Piliocolobus tephrosceles (Ugandan red Colobus). RNAcentral's name for it is "lncRNA (ENSPTEG00000015499.1)". Lineage: Eukaryota; Metazoa; Chordata; Mammalia; Primates; Cercopithecidae. The record is from RNAcentral.